Paramuricea clavata is the source of this 1756-nucleotide non-coding RNA. Lineage: Eukaryota; Metazoa; Cnidaria; Anthozoa; Malacalcyonacea; Plexauridae. The record is from the annotation of a GenBank genome assembly.
CCCUGGCAGAACAACGGGAAUACCCGCAAUCAUGAUAUUAUAAGGUAAUAGCAUAAAAAGAAGCGAAUUAGCUAUUGAAACGUCCCGCCCGAUGAGGGUCGUUUAGUAAAAUUCCCUUGGGCGCCGCUCGAUUCGGGUCAUUUAGUAAAACUUUACUAAAUUUUAGUAAAAUUUUACUAAAUGACCCUCAUCGAGCGGCGCCCAAGGGAAUUAUACUAAACGACCCUCAUCGGGCGGGACGUUUUAAUAGCUAAUUCGCUUCUUUUUAUGCUAUUACUUAUAAUAAACUGCUGGUGACCUUCAUUGACUCUUGGGGCUUGAUGGACUCUUUGCAAUUAAUAAGCUGAUCCGAAUCACAGGGGUUUCAUUCCCGGCACAAUAGCUAUUAGGGACGGACCAUUAGAAAAGUGAUGGGGGGGGGAGGGGAUUUUCUAAGAGGCAAUAUUUUUUUUUUUGUACACCUAUAGAAGAAAUAUAUUUUUUUUCUCACUUGAUGGUUGGAAAUAUUUUUUUUUUAAGUGAAAUUUAUAGGCCUAUCAGUGGUGUAGUCCUGGAAUGUUAACAAGGGGGCUCUCCAAAGUGUCCUGAAUUGGCGGGAGGGGUGUACAAUAAGAUAUUUUGGAAAUUCUAAAUUUUGUUGGGGUUUAUUCUAGAAAUUGUGGGACAAACAUUCGACGUUAUUCUUAUUAAAAACAAAGGGGCUGAAAGCGAGGGCCGAAGGCCCGAGGAAAUUCUUAAAUUUAGAGUCUCUGAAAUGCCAUUUCCUGGACUUUGGGGAAGAUUUGACAGAAUUCUGAUGGUCAGAAAACAGCGUUUUAGUAUGUCGAAAUUUACAAUUUAGUAGUAUUAAAUGGGCGAAGGCGUAUUUAGUUAACUAUAUAUUGGAUAAAUUGCAGGAAAUUAUGGGUAAUAUCUUCAUUCUUUGCAAUUUGUCAUGGAUAAUGUACAGCUUACAAUUAAUCAAUUGUCAGUGUUUUAAAGAUAUUAUUUAAAUGUAUCGAGUAGCUACAGAUUUGUCCUUGGCACAUAUGGUAAAGACUCUACAAUGUUUGAGCCUCUGACCUAUAGUGAUGACGUAAACUUUAUAUAGGUCUAUGCGCCGAGGGGACUGACCUAACCUUGGCAGCCUAUACUUGCAAUGAGGGGCGGUGAGCUAACCUGUGCCUUGCCCGCGAUAGGAACGAGUGCUGCCUGCUCUCUCAGGCAAAAUGUCUCUUCACCCUGCUGACGAACGCUAGAGGACACAUGAUUUUGUCAAAAGAAUGAUUAUUAGCAAAUUAUGGGGGGGGGGCUGCAGCCCCAAGCCCCUCCCGUUGAUACAGCCCUGGAUAGAGUUUAAAUCAGACAAAACAGGAUCGGUAUUUCAACAGCCAAUUUGCCACGGCGCAUGAACAACGCGGUAUAAAGAUUACAAAAAUCAUUAUUGUGUUAAAUUAUGACUGAAAAUGAGAUACAAUUCUAAAGAACAUUCUCGUUUACUGAUAUUUUUGUGUGUGUUUUUGACGUUGUUAAGAUUAUGCAACGCGCCAAAAACAUAGGGGGGCUCAGCCCCUCCAAGUCAACAUGAAAUUUUAACAAGGGGUGCUAAGCACCCUCCAGCCCUCCCUCCACUACACCACUUGGCCUAUCUUCUAAGCAAGGAAUUUUUUUUUUUGCACUAUGCCUGGGAAGAUUUUUUUUUUCUUAAUUUUUUUCUGGAAAUAAUUUUUUUUUUUGGUUUUGCCCCCCCCCCCAUCACUUUUCUAAUGGUCCGUCC